CCUACGGGAGGCUGCAGUGGGGAAUAUUGGACAAUGGGCGAAAGCCUGAUCCAGCCAUGCCGCGUGUGUGAAGAAGGCCUUCGGGUUGUAAAGCACUUUCAGUGGGGAAGAAAGCCUUGGGGCUAAUACCCUCGAGGAAGGACAUCACCCACAGAAGAAGCACCGGCUAACUCCGUGCCAGCAGCCGCGGUAAUACGGAGGGUGCGAGCGUUAAUCGGAAUUACUGGGCGUAAAGCGCGCGUAGGCGGUCUGAUAAGCCGGUUGUGAAAGCCCCGGGCUCAACCUGGGAACGGCAUCCGGAACUGUCAGGCUAGAGUGCAGGAGAGGAAGGUAGAAUUCCCGGUGUAGCGGUGAAAUGCGUAGAGAUCGGGAGGAAUACCAGUGGCGAAGGCGGCCUUCUGGACUGACACUGACGCUGAGGUGCGAAAGCGUGGGUAGCAAACAGGAUUAGAUACCGCAGUAGUC
RNAcentral lists this ribosomal RNA (465 nucleotides) under Vreelandella stevensii. RNAcentral describes it as "partial 16S ribosomal RNA". It matches the Rfam family "Bacterial small subunit ribosomal RNA", at positions 338 to 795 of the family's 1533-position model. The record is from RNAcentral. Lineage: Bacteria; Pseudomonadati; Pseudomonadota; Gammaproteobacteria; Oceanospirillales; Halomonadaceae.